Molecule: ribosomal RNA, 585 nt
Filed under: Triticum aestivum (bread wheat)
Lineage: Eukaryota; Viridiplantae; Streptophyta; Magnoliopsida; Poales; Poaceae
Description: partial small subunit ribosomal RNA
Source: RNAcentral
UGGAAUUGUCGUGGGAUUGGCGACCCUGCGACAGUCCAUGAGCUCCGCGAUCUCGUGGAGGCUAGUGCGCCGUCGGUUCUUUGCAUUGUGGAGACUCAAUUAGCAAAAAAUCGAGUGGAAGGUUUGGCGGUCUCUUUAGGUUUUCAAAACAGCUUUGCAGUAGCUAGUACUGGUCGUAGUGGUGGUCUUUGUAUUUUUUGGAAGGCGGAUGUUAAUUUGGUAAUAAAGAAUUUCUCGCAGUAUCACAUAGACUCCUGGGUAUCUGAACUAGGGUCUGAGCAAUGGCGCCUCACAUGCUUUUAUGGAGAGGCAAACCAGAGCCUGAGGUACAAAACAUGGGAUACCAUGAAAAGGUUGAGGGGAGAAAGCACACUACCUUGGCUCUGCAUGGGCGAUUUCAAUGAGAUACUUCGCCAGGAGGAGCAGAUGGGCCCUAACCCGCGAGAUAGCGCUCAAAUGGAGGGGUUUAGGGAAGCGGUGGAUGUAUGUGAGCUGGCGGAUUUGGGCAUACUGGCUUAGACUGGACUUUCGAGAAACGUGUUACAGGAGGCCAGUUUUGUAGGGUCCGGUUGGACCGGGCUCUAG